GUGCCAGCCGCCGCGGUAAUACCGGCAGCCCGAGUGAUGGCCGAUCUUAUUGGGCCUAAAGCGUCCGUAGCUGGCUGCGCAAGUCCGUCGGGAAAUCCGCCCGCUCAACGGGCGGCCGUCCGGCGGAACCUGUGUGGCUUGGGACCGGGAGGCCUGAGGGGUACGAUCGGGGUAGGAGUGAAAUCCCGUAAUCCUGGACGGACCGCCGAUGGCGAAAGCACCUCGAGAGGACGGACCCGACAGUGAGGGACGAAAGCCAGGGUCUCGAACCGGAUUAGAUACCCGGUAGUCC
Molecule: ribosomal RNA, 292 nt
Filed under: uncultured bacterium
Lineage: Bacteria
Description: partial 16S ribosomal RNA
Rfam family: Archaeal small subunit ribosomal RNA
Source: RNAcentral